RNAcentral lists this ribosomal RNA (495 nucleotides) under uncultured bacterium. RNAcentral describes it as "partial 16S ribosomal RNA". It matches the Rfam family "Bacterial small subunit ribosomal RNA", at positions 28 to 507 of the family's 1533-position model. The record is from RNAcentral.
GACGAACGCUGGCGGCGUGCCUAAUACAUGCAAGUAGAACGCUGAAGGAGGAGCUUGCUUCUCUGGAUGAGUUGCGAACGGGUGAGUAACGCGUAGGUAACCUGCCUGGUAGCGGGGGAUAACUAUUGGAAACGAUAGCUAAUACCGCAUAAGAGUAGAUGUUGCAUGACAUUUGCUUAAAAGGUGCAAUUGCAUCACUACCAGAUGGACCUGCGUUGUAUUAGCUAGUUGGUGAGGUAACGGCUCACCAAGGCAACGAUACAUCGCCGACCUGGGAGGGGGAUCGGCCACACUGGGACUGGAACACGGCCCAGGCUCCUUCGGGAAGCAGCAAGAAGGAAUCUUUGGCAAUGGACGGAAGGCUGACCGAGCAACGCCGCGGGAGUGAAGAAGGGUUUCGGAUCGUAAAGCUCUGUUGAAAGAGAAGAACGAGUGUGAGAGUGGAAAGUUCACACUGUGACGGUAUCUUACCAGAAAGGGACGGCUAACUACGUG